This 23-nucleotide non-coding RNA is filed under the name Arabidopsis thaliana (thale cress). The record is from RNAcentral. Lineage: Eukaryota; Viridiplantae; Streptophyta; Magnoliopsida; Brassicales; Brassicaceae.
AGAAGAUGUAUUUAACCUGGUGU